This 345-nucleotide ribosomal RNA is filed under the name uncultured bacterium. RNAcentral's name for it is "bacterial SSU rRNA". It matches the Rfam family "Bacterial small subunit ribosomal RNA", at positions 8 to 334 of the family's 1533-position model. The record is from RNAcentral.
AGGGUUCGAUUAUGGCUCAGGAUGAACGCUGGCGGCGUGCUUAACACAUGCAAGUCGAACGGAGAGCCUUUGAUUGAGGAUUCGUCCAAAUGAUAAGGUUUCUUAGUGGCGGACGGGUGAGUAACGCGUGAGGAACCUGCCUUGGAGUGGGGAAUAACAGUCCGAAAGGGCUGCUAAUACCGCAUGAUGCAGUUGGGUCGCAUGGCUCUGACUGCCAAAGAUUUAUCGCUCUGAGAUGGCCUCGCGUCUGAUUAGCUAGUUGGUGGGGUAAAGGCCCACCAAGGCGACGAUCAGUAGCCGGACUGAGAGGUUGGCCGGCCACAUUGGGACUGAGACACGGCCCAG